RNAcentral lists this transfer RNA (72 nucleotides) under Bos taurus (domestic cattle). It matches the Rfam family "tRNA". Rfam says of the family: Transfer RNA (tRNA) molecules are approximately 80 nucleotides in length. Their secondary structure includes four short double-helical elements and three loops (D, anti-codon, and T loops). Further hydrogen bonds mediate the characteristic L-shaped molecular structure. tRNAs have two regions of fundamental functional importance: the anti-codon, which is responsible for specific mRNA codon recognition, and the 3' end, to which the tRNAs corresponding amino acid is attached (by aminoacyl-tRNA synthetases). tRNAs cope with the degeneracy of the genetic code in two manners: having more than one tRNA (with a specific anti-codon) for a particular amino acid; and 'wobble' base-pairing, i.e. permitting non-standard base-pairing at the 3rd anti-codon position. The record is from Rfam by way of RNAcentral. Lineage: Eukaryota; Metazoa; Chordata; Mammalia; Artiodactyla; Bovidae. RNAcentral also lists the same sequence under 4 other names.
UCCCUGGUGGCUCAGACUGUAAAGCAACUGCCUACAGUGCAGGAGACCCGGGUUCAACCCCUGGAUCGGGAA